AGGACGAACGCUGGCGGCGUGCUUAACACAUGCAAGUCGAGCGGUAAGGCCUUUCGGGGUACACGAGCGGCGAACGGGUGAGUAACACGUGGGUGAUCUGCCCUGCACUUCGGGAUAAGCCUGGGAAACUGGGUCUAAUACCGGAUAUGACCUGCUCUCGCAGUGGGGGUGGGUGGAAAGAUUUAUCGGUGCAGGAUGGGCCCGCGGCCUAUCAGCUUGUUGGUGGGGUAAUGGCCUACCAAGGCGACGACGGGUAGCCGACCUGAGAGGGUGACCGGCCACACUGGGACUGAGACACGGCCCAGACUCCGUACGGGAGGCAGCAGGUGGGAAUAUUGCACAAGUGGGACGAAAGCCUGAUGCAGCGACGCCGCGUGAGGAUGAAGGCCGUUCGGGUUCGUAAACCUCUUCAGCGAGGACGAAGCGACAAGUGACGGUACCUGCAAGAA
Molecule: ribosomal RNA, 449 nt
Filed under: uncultured soil bacterium
Lineage: Bacteria
Description: bacterial SSU rRNA
Rfam family: Bacterial small subunit ribosomal RNA
Source: RNAcentral